RNAcentral lists this ribosomal RNA (1357 nucleotides) under uncultured bacterium. Its description in RNAcentral is "bacterial SSU rRNA". It matches the Rfam family "Bacterial small subunit ribosomal RNA", at positions 28 to 1381 of the family's 1533-position model. The record is from RNAcentral.
AUUGAACGCUGGCGGCAGGCUUAACACAUGCAAGUCGAACGAUGAUUAUCUAGCUUGCUAGAUAUGAUUAGUGGCGGACGGGUGAGUAACAUUUAGGAAUCUGCCUAGUAGUGGGGGAUAGCUCGGGGAAACUCGAAUUAAUACCGCAUACGACCUACGGGUGAAAGGGGGCGCAAGCUCUUGCUAUUAGAUGAGCCUAAAUCAGAUUAGCUAGUUGGUGGGGUAAAGGCCCACCAAGGCGACGAUCUGUAACUGGUCUGAGAGGAUGAUCAGUCACACCGGAACUGAGACACGGUCCGGACUCCUACGGGAGGCAGCAGUGGGGAAUAUUGGACAAUGGGGGCAACCCUGAUCCAGCCAUGCCGCGUGUGUGAAGAAGGCCUUUCGGUUGUAAAGCACUUUAAGCAGGGAGGAGAGGCUAAUGGUUAAUACCCAUUAGAUUAGACGUUACCUGCAGAAUAAGCACCGGCUAACUCUGUGCCAGCAGCCGCGGUAAUACAGAGGGUGCGAGCGUUAAUCGGAAUUACUGGGCGUAAAGCGAGUGUAGGUGGCUCAUUAAGUCACAUGUGAAAUCCCCGGGCUUAACCUGGGAACUGCAUGUGAUACUGGUGGUGCUAGAAUAUGUGAGAGGGGAAGUAGAAUUCCCAGGUGUAGCGGUGAAAUGCGUAGAGAUCUGGAGGAAUACCGAUGGCGAAGGCAGCUUCCUGGCAUAAUAUUGACACUGAGAUUCGAAAGCGUGGGUAGCAAACAGGAUUAGAUACCCUGGUAGUCCACGCCGUAAACGAUGUCUACUAGCCGUUGGGGUCCUUGAGACUUUAGUGGCGCAGUUAACGCGAUAAGUAGACCGCCUGGGGAGUACGGCCGCAAGGUUAAAACUCAAAUGAAUUGACGGGGGCCCGCACAAGCGGUGGAGCAUGUGGUUUAAUUCGAUGCAACGCGAAGAACCUUACCUGGUCUUGACAUAGUGAGAAUCCUGCAGAGAUGCGGGAGUGCCUUCGGGAAUUCACAUACAGGUGCUGCAUGGCUGUCGUCAGCUCGUGUCGUGAGAUGUUGGGUUAAGUCCCGCAACGAGCGCAACCCUUUUCCUUAUUUGCCAGCGGGUUAAGCCGGGAACUUUAAGGAUACUGCCAGUGACAAACUGGAGGAAGGCGGGGACGACGUCAAGUCAUCAUGGCCCUUACGACCAGGGCUACACACGUGCUACAAUGGUAGGUACAGAGGGUUGCUACACAGCGAUGUGAUGCUAAUCUCAAAAAGCCUAUCGUAGUCCGGAUUGGAGUCUGCAACUCGACUCCAUGAAGUCGGAAUCGCUAGUAAUCGCAGAUCAGAAUGCUGCGGUGAAUACGUUCCCGGGCCU